CCUACGGGUGGCAGCAGUCGAGAAUUAUUCACAAUGGGGGAAACCCUGAUGGUGCGACGCCGCGUGGGGGAAUGAAGGUCUUCGGAUUGUAAACCCCUGUCAUGGGGGAGCAAAUUAAAAAGAGAGUACCACAAGAGGAAGAGACGGCUAACUCUGGGCCAGCAGCCGCGGUAAGACAGAGGUCUCAAGCGUUGUUCGGAAUCACUGGGCGUAAAGCGUGCGUAGGCUUUUUCGUAAGUCGUGGGUGAAAGGCGCGGGCUCAACCCGCGGACGGCACAUGAUACGGCGAGACUAGAGUAAGGGAGUGGGAACCGGAAUUCUCGGUGUAGCCGU
This 333-nucleotide ribosomal RNA is filed under the name uncultured bacterium. Its description in RNAcentral is "partial 16S ribosomal RNA". It matches the Rfam family "Bacterial small subunit ribosomal RNA", at positions 338 to 682 of the family's 1533-position model. The record is from RNAcentral.